AAUGAACGCUGGCGGCGUGGAUAAGACAUGCAAGUCGAACGGAAAACACAAUAGCUUGCUAAUGUGUUUUUAGUGGCGGACGGGUUAGUAACACGUGAGCAACCUGCCUCGAAGCGGGGGAUAGCCUUCCGAAGGGGAGAUUAAUACCGCAUGUGACCUACGGGUUAAAGAUGCCUUCGGGUGUCACUUCGAGAUGGGCUCGCGGCCUAUCAGCUAGAUGGUGAGGUAACGGCUCACCAUGGCAACGACGGGUAGCUGGUCUGAGAGGAUGAUCAGCAACACUGGAACUGAGACACGGUCCAGACACCUACGGGUGGCAGCAGUCGAGAAUCAUUCACAAUGGGGGAAACCCUGAUGGUGCAACGCCGCGUGGAGGAUGAAGGCCCUAGGGUCGUAAACUCCUGUCAUAUAAGAGUAAGGCAUAGUUGGUUAAUACCCAGUUAUGUUUGAUAGUAUUAUAAGAGGAAGGGACGGCUAACUUCGUGCCAGCAGCCGCGGUAAUACGAAGGUCCCGAGCGUUAUUCGGAAUCACUGGGCGUAAAGAGUACGUAGGCGGUUUGGUAAGUCAGGUGUGAAAUCCCGGAGCUCAACUCCGGAACU
RNAcentral lists this ribosomal RNA (600 nucleotides) under uncultured bacterium. RNAcentral's name for it is "bacterial SSU rRNA". It matches the Rfam family "Bacterial small subunit ribosomal RNA", at positions 28 to 622 of the family's 1533-position model. The record is from RNAcentral.